AGGACGAACGCUGGCGGCGUGCUUAACACAUGCAAGUCGAGCGGAAAGGCCCUUCGGGGUACUCGAGCGGCGAACGGGUGAGUAACACGUGAGCAACCUGCCCUUAGCUUCGGGAUAGCUCCGGGAAACCGGAAUUAAUACCGAAUAUGACUGCGGCUGACAUCAGCCACGGUGGAAAGUUUUUCGGCUAGGGAUGGACUCGCGGCCUAUCAGCUAGUUGGUGAGGUAACGGCCCACCAAGGCGACG
RNAcentral lists this ribosomal RNA (247 nucleotides) under uncultured bacterium. RNAcentral describes it as "partial small subunit ribosomal RNA". It matches the Rfam family "Bacterial small subunit ribosomal RNA", at positions 26 to 278 of the family's 1533-position model. The record is from RNAcentral.